CCCCCACACCCGUGCCCCUGCCCUUUGGCAGCUCCAGGCCACAGCCUGGCCCGCACCGCUGCCCUUGCAGCUGCCCCCGGGGCUGGAAGUGGAGACCUGGGGCUGUAGUGCUGGGGAGGGCGGGUCCCCGGGUCUGGGGUCUGAAGCCCCUCUCUCCAUCUGGCUGUUUUCCCCCCCCGCGUCCGGAACCCCAGGGCCCCUCCCCUCGCCCUUCUGGCGAGCCCGGUUGGCGACCCCCACACCGGCCACACUCUCCAUCCCCGGUGCUCCCACCACGCCUCCUCCAAGAGGGCCACGGAUCUCUCCAGGCCUUGCCAUUUGCCCACACGCCCUCUCCACUCUUCUGGCCAGCCCCCUCCGGCCUCUGGCAAGGCCCUCUCUACAGGAACCCCCGUCCAGGGCCCAGUCCUCACUCCUCUCCUUGGGUACUGCUGGCCAGGAGGGCUGCUGGGACCUUUCAGGGUAGGGCGGCAGCCUCCCUCCCCUGUCCCCAGGCCUCUCCCUCCUCCCGUGGUUUCCUCUGCCUGGUGGCUGGAUUCAGGCCACUUGAUCUCUUUCUCAGGCCACUUCUCAAUCUGUUUAACUGCCCGUGUCCCCCCACCCCCAAGCCUGGCUUGUUCCUGCACCCAACAGCACCCUAAGUGCAAGAGGCAGGGGUGUUGGGGACCCCGAGAAGCGGGGCCAUGGGUCCUGGCUGCUGCUGGGGGCAGAGGGCCCAGGUCUGCAGCCCCCAGACCCAAAUAGGUUCCGAGAGGCUCCAGUACUGCUGCAUGGCUGAAGAUUGGUGGACAGAAACAGGAAAGGAGGUACAGAAGACGGAGGCAAAGCCCAGAAACCACCGCAGGGGCUGCAGCUCGACACUUGCCUUAUCUGAACACGGUUUGAAUGACCGGCACCCUCAAUGCGCGGAAACCCGGGUGUUGCUCUGUCACCCAGGCUGGAGUGCAGUGGUGCCAUCACAGC
Rhinopithecus roxellana (golden snub-nosed monkey) is the source of this 963-nucleotide long non-coding RNA. RefSeq lists it as uncharacterized. Lineage: Eukaryota; Metazoa; Chordata; Mammalia; Primates; Cercopithecidae. The transcript is spliced from 3 exons. The record is from RefSeq and is a predicted model, not a curated record.